CCGACCUCAGAUCGGACGAGAUUACCCGCUGAAUUUAAGCAUAUCACUAAGCGGAGGAAAAGAAACUAACAAGGAUUCCCUCAGUAACGGCGAGUGAAGCGGGACCAGCCCAUCACCGAAUCCCCCGGCCUUCGGCCAGCGGGAGCUGUGGUGUUCGAGACGUCACCUGCCGUCUCGCCGGUCGCCGAAGUCCUCCUGAUCGGGGCCUCUCCCAGAGCGGGUGUCAGGCCUUUUCUGGCGACCGGUGGGUCGGCUGCGAGCGUCCUAAGAGUCGGGUUGUUUGGGAAUGC
This 290-nucleotide ribosomal RNA is filed under the name Akiyoshia kobayashii. RNAcentral describes it as "partial 28S ribosomal RNA". It matches the Rfam family "Eukaryotic large subunit ribosomal RNA", at positions 1 to 283 of the family's 3401-position model. Lineage: Eukaryota; Metazoa; Mollusca; Gastropoda; Littorinimorpha; Hydrobiidae. The record is from RNAcentral.